Molecule: non-coding RNA, 26 nt
Filed under: Bos taurus (domestic cattle)
Lineage: Eukaryota; Metazoa; Chordata; Mammalia; Artiodactyla; Bovidae
Also listed under: 1 other name
Source: RNAcentral
GAAUUCAGAGAGGUGACAGAACUUAU